This 1360-nucleotide long non-coding RNA is filed under the name Capra hircus (goat). RNAcentral describes it as "lncRNA (ENSCHIG00000007967.1)". Lineage: Eukaryota; Metazoa; Chordata; Mammalia; Artiodactyla; Bovidae. The record is from RNAcentral.
CGGGACUCUCAAGAGUCUUCUCCAACACCACAGUUCAAAAGCAUCAAUUCUUUGGCCCUCAGCUUUCUUUAUAGUCCAACUCUCACAUCCAUACAUGAUUACUGGAAAAACCAUAGCUUUAACUAGACAGACCUUUGUUGGUAAAGUGAUGUCUCUGCUUUAAUAUGCUGCCUAGGCUUGUUGCAGCACUCAGAAUUUGAGGAACCAGGAUUGACCCUUUCCUCCAACUCUUCUCCCAGUGCACCACUGGUCCGGGAGUCAGGACGAAUGCGUGUCAGCUCUGUCUCUGCCACCUUCCUUGGGAUAUCAGGAAAGCUCUCUUUAGUACCAGUUUCCUCAUCUGACAAACGCAUGGCUCACACUAGGCCUUCCACAAAUCCAGCACUUAGUGAUUCACUAUAUCAUCACCCACUCCUAAUGUUCUGUUUGAGGGAUUUAGUAUUUUUAUCUUCUUUUUUUAAAAAAAUCAGGAAUUUGAGCCUGUAGCCAAUGAACUUUCCUCCCCCGUUAUGAGAAACAAUCCUCAGAAUCCCAAGGAAACCAGGUCCAGGACUUCUCCCAGGGGAGGUUUCUGCAUGCGCAUAACGUACUCUGUCUUAAAAAAAAAAAACAAAACUCUUGACGUCCUUCCCUCCAGUGAAGUCAAUGACUUGCAACUUCCUUUCCCAAGUCCCCACAGAAUUUUAGGCAAAUUAACGCAGGAGCAUUUGAUCUUCUCCCCAGAUGUUUUGAUCACAGAAGGGCCACAUAUGUGCACACAUUCCUGGAUAUUUUUAGGUUUUUUUAUAAGCUCCAAAGUUCUAACUGCUUUUUCACUCCGCGCAUUGUGGGCACUGCCGGGAGAUGUUCCUGCCGAAGCUGCCAAGGCAGGGUCUGGUGGAAGGGGGCCUGGCCCGGGAAGGCUCCCGGAAGUUGCUCUGAGCGAUCCUGGAUGCUGCAUGGCUUCAGUCCCUGAGGCCUCUCUGGCCACUAAGAGAACACAAACCGCUGCCAGAGGCCACCAGCUGUUUCCAGGCUCCUCUGCUACUUUCCACAGCCCCCGCUACCAGCCCUUUGUACUGAUGUGAGAACCACCCAGAUACAACCCUGAGAUGGUGAGCCUGGAGUCAGAAGAACUGGGUUGGAGUCUCACCUCCACAUCUUAGCUGUCUGCCAUCGGGCAAGCUGCUGUACCUUUCUAGCCAGUUUUCUCAACUGUGAAAAGGGGUAACACCACUCACUGCAUGGGGUGGCUGUGAGGACUGAGAGGCGGAGAGUGUGGGGCCAUAAGCACCUGUGUAGCACCCUUCAGACACUGGGGCCUUUGUCACAGCCCUCACCCCUGACGGCCGUGCUUUGGAGGCCUGCUCAGAUGUAGUCG